CCUACGGGAGGCAGCAGUGGGGAAUUGUUCGCAAUGGGCGCAAGCCUGACGACGCAACGCCGCGUGGAGGAUGAAGACCUUCGGGUCGUAAACUCCUUUCGAUCGAGACGAACGGCUUCCGGGUGAACAAUCCGGAAGAGUGACGGUACCGAGAGAAGAAGCCCCGGCUAACUCCGUGCCAGCAGCCGCGGUAAUACGGGGGGGGUCAAGCGUUGUUCGGAAUUACUGGGCGUAAAGGGCUCGUAGGCGGCCAACUAAGUCAGACGUGAAAUCCCUCGGCUUAACCGGGGAACUGCGUCUGAUACUGGAUGGCUUGAGGUUGGGAGAGGGAUGCGGAAUUCCAGGUGUAGCGGUGAAAUGCGUAGAUAUCUGGAGGAACACCGGUGGCGAAGGCGGCAUCCUGGACCAAUUCUGACGCUGAGGAGCGAAAGCCAGGGGAGCAAACGGGAUUAGAUACCCCGGUAGUCCUGGCCCUAAACGAUGAAUGCUUGGUGUGGCGGGUAUCGAUCCCUGCCGUGCCGAAGCUAACGCAUUAAGCAUUCCUCCUGGGGAGACGGUUCGCAAGGCUGAAACUCAAAGGAAUUGACGG
RNAcentral lists this ribosomal RNA (589 nucleotides) under uncultured bacterium. Its description in RNAcentral is "bacterial SSU rRNA". It matches the Rfam family "Bacterial small subunit ribosomal RNA", at positions 338 to 916 of the family's 1533-position model. The record is from RNAcentral.